This 495-nucleotide ribosomal RNA is filed under the name uncultured bacterium. Its description in RNAcentral is "partial 16S ribosomal RNA". It matches the Rfam family "Bacterial small subunit ribosomal RNA", at positions 28 to 507 of the family's 1533-position model. The record is from RNAcentral.
GACGAACGCUGGCGGCGUGCCUAAUACAUGCAAGUAGAACGCUGAAGGAGGAGCUUGCUUCUCUGGAUGAGUUGCGAACGGGUGAGUAACGCGUAGGUAACCUGCCUGGUAGCGGGGGAUAACUAUUGGAAACGAUAGCUAAUACCGCAUAAUAGUAGAUGUUGCAUGACAUUUGCUUAAAAGGUGCAAUUGCAUCACUACCAGAUGGACCUGCGUUGUAUUAGCUAGUUGGUGGGGUAACGGCUCACCAAGGCGACGAUACAUAGCCGACCUGAGAGGGUGAUCGGCCACACUGGGACUGAGACACGGCCCAGACUCCUACGGGAGGCAGCAGUAGGGAAUCUUCGGCAAUGGACGGAAGUCUGAACGAGCAACGCCGCGGGAGUGAAGAAGGGUUUCGGAUCGUAAAGCUCUGUUGUAAGAGAAGAACGAGUGUGAGAGUGGAAAGUUCACACUGUGACGGUAUCUUACCAGAAAGGGACGGCUAACUACGUG